CGUAGACUUGCCACAAGUCGACCAUGGGGGAGGGAGGACGCGGGGGAGAGAAGGCGCGACCCGAGCGACGAAGUCGCGAGUGGUCGACUUGUGUCCCUUGCAGGAAUUUAAAUCGCAUUAAAAAUUUUGGCGCGAAUAAUUUUGACAUAAAAUGGGUGUGUACAUUUCAUACAAUUACUUCACCGCGCCGACAAUUGGUCUACAAAAACACAAAAACAUUCUCAAGAAUUGAUAUUUCUUUGUCCUCGAAUGAAACAGUUUGCACCGAGUGUGGAAACGAAAUAACUUACCUAAGUAAGCGCCGAAAGCUGUUCAAUGUAUCAACAAAAACGAGUGAAUGUAAAAACUUAUUGAAUCUGGACAGUUGUUUGUCUAACAAUGUGUGCCGUAUUAAUUGUGUUGACAGGAAUAGUAAUUUAUUAGAUUUAUUAUAGAAAGUUGAUUCAGUUCGCCAGCGAUUUAACGUAGUAGAAGUUAAUCUAAUUAAAAAGAAUCAGACAACUGUAACCGAGAAGCAGAGCCAGAGAGGCGGCGAUUGUGGUCAACGAGAAGACGUCGCCAGAGUUCAAAAUCCGGUAAAAAUACGCGUUGUUUUCUCAACAAAUGAUUUUGUAUUAAUAAUCAGUAAUCGAGAUCAAGAAACCCAAACUAAACCCGAAACUAGUGAGGAAAUUUUAGAAUCAUUAGAUGCAUCUUCGGUACGUGACAGUUUAUUUCGACAUCCUGUACUUUUAAAUAUACUC
Molecule: non-coding RNA, 743 nt
Organism: Paramuricea clavata
Lineage: Eukaryota; Metazoa; Cnidaria; Anthozoa; Malacalcyonacea; Plexauridae
Source: the annotation of a GenBank genome assembly